CCUACGGGUGGCAGCAGUGGGGAAUAUUGGACAAUGGGGGAAACCCUGAUCCAGCAAUGCCGCGUGAGUGAUGAAGGCCUUAGGGUUGUAAAGCUCUUUUACCAGGGAUGAUAAUGACAGUACCUGGAGAAUAAGCUCCGGCUAACUCCGUGCCAGCAGCCGCGGUAAUACGGAGGGAGCUAGCGUUGUUCGGAAUUACUGGGCGUAAAGCGCACGUAGGCGGCUUUUCAAGUCAGGGGUGAAAUCCCGGGGCUCAACCCCGGAACUGCCCUUGAAACUGGAUGGCUAGAAUACUGGAGAGGUGAGUGGAAUUCCGAGUGUAGAGGUGAAAUUCGUAGAUAUUCGGAAGAACACCAGUGGCGAAGGCGACUCACUGGACAGUUAUUGACGCUGAGGUGCGAAAGCGUGGGGAGCAAACAGGAUUAGAUACCCUUGUAGUC
This 440-nucleotide ribosomal RNA is filed under the name uncultured bacterium. Its description in RNAcentral is "bacterial SSU rRNA". It matches the Rfam family "Bacterial small subunit ribosomal RNA", at positions 338 to 795 of the family's 1533-position model. The record is from RNAcentral.